UACUCUUUAGCCAAUGUUACUGUUUCAAGUCGGGUCGUUAUUUGUACAAUAAAACAAGCUGUAAACUUGGGACAAGCCAACAUGGCCGGUCUCCUGGGAGACGCAAGAGUUACUGUGGUUGUGUAGUUGUCUGCCUGUAACAUGAGCACUGUUGGCCACGUCAUGCAGCCGAGACCAGGCUGCAUGUUUCGCUCCGCUGCUCGUUUCUCUUGCCCUGCUUUCACAGUUCAUUUACUCCAUCAAGAAGGAUCCGAUCACACACAGUCAACAAUGGCAGGGGAGAGUGACGGGCAUGACUGGAAGGGAGCAGCUCAAGACCCGGCAAGGCGCGCUUGAUGCAUCGACUAUUCAGUGCAUAGAAUACGCUUACUAGUAUUCAAAGACAAAACCUCUACAUAGCUAAGAUGGAGUUGAAGGAACGUUCACCAUAGGCCAAAUCAUAGGAGGACCAGACAGGCCUGUCUAUAGAACUCGAGUCAGGUGGUUAUGACAGAUAUAAUGAAGCACUUGUGCUGCCUCGCAGAGUGUUCGACUUGGCUAGCCAGCUCCUAGGCUGGUCUUGACAGAUGCUUUAAUUUACGAGCCGAUUCGCAGGAACUGUACUUUUUCAUGUUCUGUACAGAUCGUGUACCAUUAUUUUGGAGAGCACUGAAAGUGAUUUGAACCCAGGCAGCGGAGGAAUUCCUAUGAUUUACUGCCAAGGAAGAAGAGAAUGAGAAUCAUGCUUAAAAAUUGAGUUCAUCUCAGCCUUCCCCUGCCUCAAUAUAUGUAUGUAUGUAUAUGUAUUUGCAUGUGUGUGUGUGUGUAUAUAUAUAUAGACACACACACAUACA
Molecule: long non-coding RNA, 833 nt
Organism: Limulus polyphemus (Atlantic horseshoe crab)
Lineage: Eukaryota; Metazoa; Arthropoda; Merostomata; Xiphosura; Limulidae
Exons: 3
Source: RefSeq, a predicted model, not a curated record